RNAcentral lists this ribosomal RNA (402 nucleotides) under uncultured bacterium. RNAcentral's name for it is "bacterial SSU rRNA". It matches the Rfam family "Bacterial small subunit ribosomal RNA", at positions 29 to 419 of the family's 1533-position model. The record is from RNAcentral.
AGCGAACGUUAGCGGCGGGCUCAACACAUGCAAGUCGAGCGAGAAAGUGGCUUCGGCCAUCAGUAAAGCGGCGGACGGGUGAGUAACACGUAGGUAAUCUUCCUUCGAGCGGGGGACAACGUUCCGAAAGGGACGCUAAUACCGCAUACGUUUCUCGGGACUCUGGUCCUGGGAAGGAAAGCUAGGUCGCAAGAUCCGGCACUCGAUGAGGAGCCUGCGUAGCAUCAGCUAGUGGUGGGGUAAUGGCCUACCAAGGCGAAGACGCUUAGCUGGUCUGAGAGGAUGAUCAGCCACACUGAAACUGAGACACGGUUCAGACUCCUACGGGAGGCAGCAGUGGGGAAUAUUGGACAAUGGGCGCAAGCCUGAUCCAGCCACGCCGCGUGAGUGAUGUAGGCCUUC